UCCAAAUGCCAGUGUUGAAAAACCUGCAGUUCCAUGCUCUAAUCCCAAGGAAAUUCCCAAGCAAGCCGAGGGAGAGACUCAGACUCCCCAACACAUCAGAAGAUCCAAUGAAGAGGUGGCAGGAGCCAGUGGGACGUCAGAAAACCCUGAGGCUCCCACCAUCCUUUUGGAGAUGAUUGUGCCAUCUGACUCCAUGAAAUGACUGAUCAUCCCCAUGUUACAGAUGAGGAAGUGGAGGCCCAGGGACAGCGUCCUGUCCAAGCUGUUAAGCACUGUGUCACACUGCCCCCUGCUGAGCACCUACUAAGUGCCAGGCUCUUAGAAAACGAUGGUGUUUAAGACCUCCCCAAGGAGGAGCUUCUAUUCUGGUAAGCAGAGUCUGUUCGUGCCUGGCCUGGUCACCUCUGCUUAUCUCCGAGGCCACCGCUGAUGCUGAAGAGAACUGUGCCUCUCUGCCUCAGAGCGUCCUCUGGCCACAGGAGGGGUUUGGCCCACUGUCCUGGACAAGCAAGAAAGGCCAAGGUGUUACAAGAACCAUCACUAACCCCCAAGCCACGAGGGGCGUCAAUUGGCGAAUAAACUCCCACUUUCCUUACCCUCAGCAGGACAGUUCUGAGACGUGAUCUAUAUGGGUUCGCAGACCGUCCCAGUGGGAUCACUGGAGGAGUUAGUGAGACAGGGAUCCAGUGAGACAGACACCGGUGACAUACUGCGUGGGGAGAAGCCCAGGAGGGUUUGAAGCAUAGUACCCGAAUACCAGCAAAACUGGCGGGUCACCGAGCUGGGAGCGGCCACUGUCAUACUAUACCUUUGUUGAUUCCCCCAUACAGGCCUAUGUGCCACAAAGAUAUCUUGAAGCUUUGCAAAAGGAUCAGUGGGGUUGGGGUUUGGUACAUCUCACUCUGAAGAGGCACACUUCUGGUUUCCUCAACAGGAAUAAAACCUAAUGUUUUCAUUGUUGUUAAAAUACUAU
This is a long non-coding RNA of Leopardus geoffroyi (Geoffroy's cat), 973 nucleotides long. RefSeq lists it as uncharacterized. The record is from RefSeq and is a predicted model, not a curated record. Lineage: Eukaryota; Metazoa; Chordata; Mammalia; Carnivora; Felidae. The transcript is spliced from 4 exons.